This 305-nucleotide ribosomal RNA is filed under the name uncultured bacterium. RNAcentral describes it as "bacterial SSU rRNA". It matches the Rfam family "Bacterial small subunit ribosomal RNA", at positions 337 to 656 of the family's 1533-position model. The record is from RNAcentral.
GCCUACGGGGGGCAGCAGUGGGGAAUAUUGGACAAUGGGGGAAACCCUGAUCCAGCGACGCCGCGUGAGUGAAGAAGUAUUUCGGUAUGUAAAGCUCUAUCAAUAGGGAAGAAAGAAAUGACGGUACCUAAAUAAGAAGCCCCGGCUAACUACGUGCCAGCAGCCGCGGUAAUACGUAGGGGGCAAGCGUUAUCCGGAAUUACUGGGUGUAAAGGGUGAGUAGGCGGCACUGUAAGUAAGAUGUGAAAGCCUUAGGCUUAACCUGAGGAUUGCAUUAUAAACUGCAGAGCUAGAGUGCAGGAGAG